AUAAAAUUUUAAAAGACUAGCUAGAAAAUAAUAUUGGUAUUUUAAAUUCUUGUAUUGUUAUUUUUAUCAAAAUAGUGUUAAUAAGAAGAGUCUAAGAGUAUUGGUUAAAGAAAUUUAAUAAAAAAGCUAAAGUGGUAGUACUGUGAAGGAAAGUUGAAAUAAUAUGAAAGAUAAUUAAAUCAGGAAAGAAAAAGUUAAAGUUUGUACCUUUUGUAUGAUGGUUCAAUAAGGUUGUGUAAAUAGUGUUUUAUAACCCGAAGCUGGGCGAGCUAGUGUAUUCUGCUUUAAGAGAGAGAGCUUUUACUGUUGCAAUAGUAAGGUUUGAGGGUACAUUAGGUGUGAAAUGCUUAUCGCGCUCAGGGAUAGCUGGUUUUCCUAGAAAUUGGGUGUAAGCUAAAUAUUGUUUCUAUCAUUGUAGUAAUUAUUUUACAGAAUAAGAAAGUAGUUUUUGAUAGUAGCAUAAUUGUAAGACAGGAAGGGAUAAGCUUAUUUAGUGCAGAAGAUACAAAAGAUUUUUAGAAAAUAAUUCUAAAUUGUAAAAAUUUAUAGGAGAAUUUCAUAAGUUUGAAAGUUAUAAUGUUGAAAUUAGUAGAGAGUAAGAGCAUAUUUUUUGUGGAUUAAUCAGGCCUAACAUUGGAUGGAACAAUUAUUCAUUAUCGGGAAAUUAGUUUGUUAAAGUUGUCUACUAACACAAGUAAUAUGGUGUAACCUAAUUAAGGGAAAGGAACUCGGCAAAUAAAGAUUUCGCCUGUUUACCAAAAACAUCGCCCUUUGUAAAGAAUCUAACAUAUAAAGGGUCCUGCCUGCCCAGUGACUUAGUUAAACGGCCGCGGUAUCUUGACCGUGCAAAGGUAGCAUAAUCAUUUGCCUCUUAAAUGGGGGCUGGUAUGAAUGGCAAGACGGGAAUCAAGCUGUCUCUCCCUUAUAUCUUGAAGUUAAUAUUUCUGUGAAGAAGCAGAAAUGAGAUCGCAGGACGAGAAGACCCUAUCGAGCUUUAGUAGAAAUAAGAUAUAACUUGUUAAUAGUGUUUGUGCUGCUAAUUCAAUUGUUAAAAACAGUUCCUAUAGUUUUACUGCUAAAAACAUUAGUGUUGUAUAUAUAAUACUUAGGUUGGGGCAACCGCGGAGAAUAAUUAUCCUCCGUUAAUUUUAUUGAAAAAAUAAUUAUUUUUCAAUAUAAGAUUUAUUUAAAGAGUGAUCCACUUGAAAUGGUGAGCAAAAGAAUAAGUUACCGUAGGGAUAACAGCGUAAUUUUUUUGGAGAGUUCAUAUUGAUAAAAAAGUUUGCGACCUCGAUGUUGGAUCGGGAUUUCCUGGGGAUGCAGCAGUUCCCGAUGGUUGGUCUGUUCGACCAUUAAAAUCCUACGUGAUCUGAGUUCAGACCGGCGGGAGCCAGGUCAGUUUCUAUCCACGAUUUUAAAAAAAAUAGUUUUUCUUAGUACGAAAGGACCAGAAAGGCGGUACCCCUGCUUAAAGGUAUGUACUGUAACAGUGUUCUGUUAAAAAAUAAGAUAAAAUGGAAUUAUUUGCGUA
This 1531-nucleotide ribosomal RNA is filed under the name Patiria pectinifera. RNAcentral's name for it is "16S rRNA". It matches the Rfam family "Bacterial large subunit ribosomal RNA", at positions 334 to 2925 of the family's 2925-position model. Lineage: Eukaryota; Metazoa; Echinodermata; Asteroidea; Valvatida; Asterinidae. The record is from RNAcentral.